UCUCGUGUCUGCUCAACUUGAACACCUCCUCAUUGAUUUUGCUCGAGGAUGGUGCCCUUUAUGUGCAUGAACUGAUGGGUGUGUUCACAACGUAGAGCAGCGCUUCUCUGU
Molecule: long non-coding RNA, 111 nt
Organism: Hordeum vulgare subsp. vulgare (domesticated barley)
Lineage: Eukaryota; Viridiplantae; Streptophyta; Magnoliopsida; Poales; Poaceae
Exons: 2
Source: RefSeq, a predicted model, not a curated record